GACGAACGCUGGCGGCGUGCUUAACACAUGCAAGUCGAACGGAAAGGCCCUGCUUGCAGGGUACUCGAGUGGCGAACGGGUGAGUAACACGUGGGUGAUCUGCCCUGCACUUCGGGAUAAGCCUGGUAAACUGGGUCUAAUACCGGAUAGGAGCCAUUUUUAGUGUGAUGGUUGGAAAGUUUUUUGCGGUGUAGGAUGAGCUCGCGGCCUAUCAGCUUGUUGGUGGGGUAAUGGCCUACCAAGGCGGCGACGGGUAGCCGGCCUGAGAGGGUGGACGGCCACAUUGGGACUGAGAUACGGCCCAGACUCCUACGGGAGGCAGCAGUGGGGAAUAUUGCACAAUGGGCGCAAGCCUGAUGCAGCGACGCCGCGUGGGGGAUGACGGCCUUCGGGUUGUAAACUCCUUUCGCUAGGGACGAAGCUUUUUGUGACGGUACCUAGAUAAGAAGCACCGGCUAACUACGUG
This 466-nucleotide ribosomal RNA is filed under the name uncultured bacterium. Its description in RNAcentral is "partial 16S ribosomal RNA". It matches the Rfam family "Bacterial small subunit ribosomal RNA", at positions 28 to 507 of the family's 1533-position model. The record is from RNAcentral.